This 303-nucleotide unclassified non-coding RNA is filed under the name uncultured fungus. RNAcentral's name for it is "partial contains small subunit ribosomal RNA, internal transcribed spacer 1, and 5.8S ribosomal RNA". The stretch from base 1 to 73 matches the Rfam family "Eukaryotic small subunit ribosomal RNA", at positions 1759 to 1831 of the family's 1831-position model. Lineage: Eukaryota; Fungi. The record is from RNAcentral.
UCAAACUUGGUCAUUUAGAGGAAGUAAAAGUCGUAACAAGGUUUCCGUAGGUGAACCUGCGGAAGGAUCAUUAUCGAGUUAGGGUCCUCGCGGCCCGACCUCCCAUCCUGUGUCUAUUGUACUGCGUUGCUUCGGUGGGCCCGUCCCUUGGGACCGCCGGGCGUGUCCGCACGCCGGGCCUGUGCCCGCCGACAGCCUCCUUCAAAUUCUUGAUCAACAGUGAUUGUCUAAGUCAAAAAUCAAAAAUAACGCAAAACUUUCAACAACGGAUCUCUUGGUUCUGGCAUCGAUGAAGAACGCAGC